GGGGGGAAGGCGGCUGGAUCCCUCCUUAUCGACGACUCAGCUGCGGCCAUAAGUUCCCACACGAAUUGCUUGAUUCAUUGAAGAAGACGAAGGAAGCAGCCCGAAGUUGGGUCUGUAGCUCUCUUGGUUAAAGCGCACCCCUGAAAAUGGUGACGUCGGCUGUUCUAAUCUGCCCGCACCCACCAAUUUGGUGUGGGAAACGCCUUCGAAAAUACCGGGCCAUAGCUUUUCUGGGAGAGCGCCUGCCUUGCAUGGGGAGGUCAGCGGUUCGAUCCCGCUUGGCUCCACCACUACUGCUUCUGUUUGUAUAAAGCUUAAAAUUGAGCAUUCCAACUUUGCGAUGGUGAAUGUUGAUUUCUAGUCUUUGACUAGUUCAUUCUUGGAAAUUUGGGUAUGUGAUGAAAGAUAGACUGAAGUUACUUUCACUGGUGACGGAUUGGUUAUGGUAAAAGUUCUGAGUGGCUAGAUGGAGCUCAAAGGAGUUCGGCGAAAGUCGUCUUCACGUAGGACCCCUGCUUGGGGUUAGAAUGGUC
Molecule: unclassified non-coding RNA, 533 nt
Filed under: Pseudomonas fluorescens
Lineage: Bacteria; Pseudomonadati; Pseudomonadota; Gammaproteobacteria; Pseudomonadales; Pseudomonadaceae
Description: partial 16S-23S ribosomal RNA intergenic spacer
Rfam family: tRNA (bases 109-182)
Source: RNAcentral